Molecule: ribosomal RNA, 253 nt
Filed under: uncultured bacterium
Lineage: Bacteria
Description: partial 16S ribosomal RNA
Rfam family: Bacterial small subunit ribosomal RNA
Source: RNAcentral
UACGUAGGUGGCGAGCGUUGUCCGGAUUUACUGGGCGUAAAGGGAGCGUAGGCGGACUUUUAAGUGAGAUGUGAAAUACUCGGGCUCAACUUGAGUGCUGCAUUUCAAACUGGAAGUCUAGAGUGCAGGAGAGGAGAAUGGAAUUUCUAGUGUAGCGGUGAAAUGCGUGGAGAUUAGGAAGAACACCAGUGGCGAAGGCGAUUCUCUGGACUGUAACUGACGCUGAGGCUCGAAAGCGUGGGGAGCAAACAGG